This 392-nucleotide ribosomal RNA is filed under the name uncultured Sphingobacteriales bacterium. Its description in RNAcentral is "bacterial SSU rRNA". It matches the Rfam family "Bacterial small subunit ribosomal RNA", at positions 989 to 1382 of the family's 1533-position model. The record is from RNAcentral. Lineage: Bacteria; Pseudomonadati; Bacteroidota; Sphingobacteriia; Sphingobacteriales.
GAUUGCAUGAGGUGGAAACACUUCUUCCCUUCGGGGCUAUUUACAAGGUGCUGCAUGGUUGUCGUCAGCUCGUGCCGUGAGGUGUCGGGUUAAGUCCCAUAACGAGCGCAACCCUUACCGUUAGUUGCCAUCGGGUCAAGCCGGGGACUCUAGCGGGACUGCCACCGUAAGGUGAGAGGAAGGUGGGGAUGACGUCAAAUCAGCACGGCCCUUAUGUCCAGGGCUACACACGUGUUACAAUGGCCGGUACAGAGGGCAGCUACCUGGUGACAGGAUGCUAAUCCCGAAAGCCGGUCCCAGUUCGGAUCGAAGUCUGCAACUCGACUUCGUGAAGCUGGAUUCGCUAGUAAUCGCGCAUCAGCCAUGGCGCGGUGAAUACGUUCCCGGGCCUU